GGUCUUCCAAAAUUUCAUUGUGAGCGACUCAAGUGCACAAAAAGGUAUCCCGCUCCACCGGGAAGGCGAAAUUUACUCGUCUGCGUCGACCUACGCACUAAAAAUGGCGGAUAGCUGGCCCGUGGGGACGUUGACACUAUUUGAUUGAGUGAUGUUCGUCUGGACCAAUGAGACGACGACUUAGGGACCGAACGUCCCGCCCAUUCAGACGGAGGGAAAAUAAUUUAGCGAGAACGACGCCAACAUGUCAAGUUGUCCGCCAAUUUUAAGGAGGGUCGAGGUUUUUGUACAUUGCGCUGCGUUUUCGCGAACCGGCUGCAACUCGGUGGAGAAGCGCCGUUCGAGAGUCGAGAACCAAACUAUUUCACAGGUGCCGUUCCCCUGUCCAGGUGACUAAAGCGCACCCGACAAGAUUGGCUGCAAGUCAAGACAAGAAGGUGUGGCUGAGACAUGGCCACCAACUUGACAUGAACCCCCACCCCCCAAGUGUUCCGACCACGGCCCUGCGAAGCGAGCAUGGGGCUACAUGCAUUGCAACCGUUUUGUUUUGCUUUGACAAGGGAUAGGAUUCUUUGUCAUCUGUGAAGGUCCUCUCUGACUGUUGAGGACUUGGCUGUCUGUAUCUAUGGGUGUGUCUGUGUCGUGGUGCCACCUGGUGAGGGAGUUUCCAAAUUAAAAGGGCUCCAGUGAAGUUUUAGAGCUGAAUGAAGAUGUCCACGCCAUGGCACUAAAUGUUCCGAAACACCAAACAAGUUUUUACUGGGACCGUUUGUGCAAACACUUCCUGUUACAAGUGAAUCCUCUCUCGCACGCACACACACACACACACACACACACACGCGCGCGCGCGGACGUCGGUGUACGUGGUGCUUUGUUCGCAUAAGAAGUGCACGCAUGACAAUGAGAGGAGUGUUUUCUUUUCAAGUCCUCGGGGGAGGGGGCGGCUCUGCAGGUGGGGGAGGUGCUCACUGCGCUCCCUCAGGUACUUUUGCCGCCUUCCAACACAAUUUGAGCAGCUACUGUACUCACCAACAUUGUACUUCAGACAUCCCAAAGAUUAAAAUGCUCGAAUCUGUUCCGUCUUGUAUGGAAAUGUGAGAAAUACCUCAAUGGGUUCUUCUUCUAUUUACUUUUUUCUUUUGCAGAAAUGAUGAGUGCUUCUACUGCUAUAAACAAGGAAUAAUGUCACAACUGUUUGUCCGUAACGUAGUUCUUAGUUACUGUAAAUCAUGUAAACCUUUGAACUGCAAA
Molecule: long non-coding RNA, 1251 nt
Organism: Hippocampus zosterae (dwarf seahorse)
Lineage: Eukaryota; Metazoa; Chordata; Actinopteri; Syngnathiformes; Syngnathidae
Exons: 3
Source: RefSeq, a predicted model, not a curated record